GGGCAGAGCCAAGGGGGCUGGCGCAAAAGAAAUUGAAAUAUUUGAAAAUUUUGGAGAUAAUGACAACGAUGAAGAUGUUCUCUUAACCCCAUCUCGUUCCCACGUAUCAGUCUUCAUCUCUUUCCCUCGUGCACUGGCACAGAGCCAAGGGGGCUGGCGCAAAAAAAUUGAAAUAAUUGAAAAUUUUGGAGAUAAUGACAACGAUGAAGAUGUUCUCUCCCAGGCCUGUUUGUGCUUUAGUUUCAGUCUCAGUUUCAGAUCUCUCUUCCAUUUCCCUUUCAACAAUUUCAUUUGUAAUUUAAGUGGACCAUACCUUGGGACCCUGUACUAAAGGACCGACAGUGGAAUGCCUAUUUGAUUGUUCUCUUGGUGCUACCGAUUAUUCAAAGGCCAUGCUCGUUUGCUGAUGCAGAUGUUUUAUAUUUGAGAUGACACAUAUGCAUAAUGAAUUCAUUUUUUGAGGUGCAGACUUUAUGUGAGAGGGGGAUGACAAAAUCUGCCCAAGUAAUCAGUAAUAAUUUUUCAAAAGAAACAUAGCAAACAGGGAAAGGGACAGCAACACUGGGCCAAUUCUUCUUGUUCCAAAUUUGCUGAUUCAAAAGAUUCUGGACUUCAAGAUUGAACAACCUCAAAAGAAAGAGCCAAGCAGAAAUUGAACAGCAAAUGAGAUAUAUUUUAGGCAAACAACUCUCAUUUAAUUUAGGCAUAUAUUUGGAAUAGCUAGACCAGAAUAACUGGUUCAUCUGGAUCGAUGGUGUCUGGUCCCUGUACUAUUAGUACUAAAACUUGUAAUUGUAGUUGGCUCUUAUAAAGAAUUGGAUAGCUCCACUUGUAAUUGGUAUAUGUAAACAUGUUGCCAUUAGGUCACAGAAGUAGAAUAGGUGUGUGUUAAGACUCUAUUACUUGUAAUUGGUUCAA
Long non-coding RNA from Gastrolobium bilobum, 918 nucleotides. RefSeq lists it as uncharacterized. The record is from RefSeq and is a predicted model, not a curated record. The transcript is spliced from 3 exons. Lineage: Eukaryota; Viridiplantae; Streptophyta; Magnoliopsida; Fabales; Fabaceae.